CUGUUCACGAAAUACAUACACAUAAAUUGGAACAAUACAGAGAAGAUUAGCAUGGCCCUCGCGGGUGACGACUCGAAGAGUCGUGAAGUUUUUCAAAAUUUA
Molecule: small nuclear RNA, 102 nt
Organism: Physella acuta
Lineage: Eukaryota; Metazoa; Mollusca; Gastropoda; Physidae
Source: RefSeq, a predicted model, not a curated record